RNAcentral lists this ribosomal RNA (217 nucleotides) under uncultured bacterium. RNAcentral describes it as "partial 16S ribosomal RNA". It matches the Rfam family "Bacterial small subunit ribosomal RNA", at positions 15 to 220 of the family's 1533-position model. The record is from RNAcentral.
GAUCAUGGCUCAGGAUGAACGCUAGCUACAGGCUUAACACAUGCAAGUCGAGGGGCAUCAGUUUGGUUUGCUUGCAAACCAAAGCUGGCGACCGGCGCACGGGUGAGUAACGCGUAUGCAACUUGCCUAUCAGAGGAGAAUAGCUCAUCGAAAGAUGAAUUAAUGCUCCAUGAAACAGGGGUCCCGCAUGGGAAUAUUUGUUAAAGAUUCAUCGCUG